RNAcentral lists this small RNA (838 nucleotides) under Pan troglodytes (chimpanzee). RNAcentral's name for it is "processed transcript". Lineage: Eukaryota; Metazoa; Chordata; Mammalia; Primates; Hominidae. The record is from RNAcentral.
UCGGAGUUUGGCCCCUACUCUGACCCCACCCCAGCUCCGCUCCGCCUUGGGUUCCGGCAGAACCCGCCUUGCGGUAGCCAUGGCAGCAGGCUCCGAGGCGACCACUCCUGUGAUCGUUGCAGCUGGGGCUGGAGGGGAGGAAGGUGAACAUGUCAAACCUUUUAAGCCAGAGAAAGCAAAAGAAAUUAUCAUGUCUUUACAACAACCUGCAAUCUUCUGUAACAUGGUGUUUGAUUGGCCAGCACGACACUGGAAUGCUAAAUACCUUUCACAGGUCCUUCAUGGCAAGCAGAUACGAUUCAGAAUGGGGAUGAAAAGCAUGAGCACAGUUCCUCAGUUUGAAACUACAUGUAAUUACAUAGAAGCUACACUCGAAGAGUUUCUGACCUGGAACUGUGACCAGUCUAGUAUUUCUGGACCAUUUAGAGAUUAUGACCAUUCCAAGUUCUGGGCUUAUGCUGACUAUAAAUAUUUUGUCAGUCUAUUUGAAGACAAGACAGAUAUUUUCCAGGAUGUGAAAUGGUCUGACUUCGGGUUUCCUGGAAGAAAUGGACAGGAAAGUACAUUGUGGAUUGGCUCCUUGGGAGCCCACACACCCUGUCAUCUGGACUCCUAUGGUUGUAACUUGGUAUUCCAGGUACAAGGAAGGCUGGAGUGCAAUGGCAUGAUCAUAGCUCCUGGACCUCAAGCCAUCCUCCUGCCGCAGCCUCUCAAGUAUCUAGGACUACAGGAAACGAUGGCAUCUCUUUCCUCCUGAAGAUACUCCUUUCCUUUAUCCAACUAGAAUCCCUUAUGAAGAAUCUAGUGUGUUCAGUAAAAUCAAUGUUGUCAAUCCUGA